GAACUAAGGAAGCUUCAGAAUAGAGAAGGAUCAUUUAGUAAGAAGCUUGCAAGGACUUGUCAAAACUUUGAUUACAACCCAGCAUCUUGGUGGCGGUUGUAUGGAACUGAAACACCAGCUUUACAGAAGAUGGCUACAAGGUUUUUAUCUUUGACAUCAAGCUCUUCUGGUUGUGAAAGAAAUUGGAGCGGGUUUGAAAUGAUACACACUAAGAAGAGAAAUAGGCUUACUACAACUCGCCUCAACAAAUUGGCAUUUAUUCAAUUCAACACCAAGCUGAUUAAUAAGAAAG
Panicum virgatum (switchgrass) is the source of this 292-nucleotide long non-coding RNA. RefSeq lists it as uncharacterized. NCBI's taxonomy places the organism in Eukaryota, Viridiplantae, Streptophyta, Magnoliopsida, Poales, Poaceae. The transcript is spliced from 3 exons. The record is from RefSeq and is a predicted model, not a curated record.